Molecule: ribosomal RNA, 474 nt
Filed under: Odontotermes lacustris
Lineage: Eukaryota; Metazoa; Arthropoda; Insecta; Blattodea; Termitidae
Description: partial 16S ribosomal RNA
Rfam family: Bacterial large subunit ribosomal RNA
Source: RNAcentral
UUUUCUUGCUAGUUUUUGAAGUAUGGCCUGCCCGCUGAUUGAAGGGCCGCGGUAUUUUGACCGUGCAAAGGUAGCAUAGUCAUUAGUUCUUUAAUUGUGAUCUGGUAUGAAUGGCUUGACGAGACAUGGGCUGUCUUUUUGAAUUUGUAUUUUGAGUUAAAAUUCUUAGAUGUUUUUAUGGGACGAGAAGACCCUAUAGAGUUUGACAUUUGGUUUUUUGUUUGUUUUAAAUUUUUGCGUUUGUUUUGUUGGGGUGAUGGGAAGAAUUUUUUAACUCUUCUUUAUUGGUAUAUUGAUUUAUAUUUAUUUUGAUCCAUUUAUUUUGAUUAUAAGAUUAAAUUACCUUAGGGAUAACAGCGUUAUCUUCCCUGAGAGUUCUUAUUGGCGGGGGGGUUUGCGACCUCGAUGUUGGAUUAAGGUUAAUUUUUGGUGUAGGAGCUGAAUUGAUUAGGUCUGUUCGACCUUUAAAAUCUU